AUGAGAAAUAAAAAGCAGCCUUCGCCAGAGCAGAGGCAUUGGUAGGUGGACAAUAUUUGAACAGAAAAUUAUCAGUUUUUGCGAAGUUAGAUACAACGAAGCCAAAAUGGAGUGCCUCUAGAAAUGUCAAAUAAGGCGGGGAGGAGGGGCGUCAAAAGUUGAUUCAUUUCCGUGUGGAGAUGGUGGCGAGCAAGCAUCAUCAAAAUCCCAUUUGAUCAAUUUCCCACUUCUCAUCUGCGCAUUUUCAGCCCAUUCCCUCUCAUAUACUUUAGUGAGGAAAAAGAAUACAAGAGGAUGAUUUGUUAUUGGAAAAUUCAACAAGAAGCUUCCUCUAUUGAACACUGUUCUUUUGGGGCACAAAUGGGUGGUCUUAAAUGAGUUCAGGGUGGCUGUGUGCCUUUUUAAAAGGGUGGAUGAUUGGCUCUCAAAAAUGCUGUGGCUUGAAAGGAAAAGGUUUUAUGGAGAUGUGCUACUCGCACUCCACUGUACAAUCUUUGGAAAGAAAAGAAUCAAUCAGUCAUCAAAGAUAAAGCUGUCUUCUUUUUGGCUUUGAUGGUUUACAAACCACACAAAUUCUUCUGUAGUCAUAGGCUUUUUGAUGAUUAUUAACGAUUGGAUGACUCGUGUUUUAGUUCUUUGAGUAUGAUUCUCUCUACCUGACUCAUAUGUUCUUAUGUUGUUCUUCGAUUCUUCGAUGAAUAUACAUCUUUUGUGCCAAA
Cucurbita maxima (winter squash) is the source of this 719-nucleotide long non-coding RNA. RefSeq lists it as uncharacterized. The record is from RefSeq and is a predicted model, not a curated record. The transcript has 5 exons. NCBI's taxonomy places the organism in Eukaryota, Viridiplantae, Streptophyta, Magnoliopsida, Cucurbitales, Cucurbitaceae.